GUACACAGCCAUAUCACCCUGCAGCCCAAGACUGGUCACCCACUGAAGCUAAGCAGGGUUGAGCCUGGUCAGUACAUGGAUGGGAGACCUCCUGGGAAAACUAGGUUGCUGUUAGAA
Molecule: ribosomal RNA, 117 nt
Filed under: Sinocyclocheilus grahami
Lineage: Eukaryota; Metazoa; Chordata; Actinopteri; Cypriniformes; Cyprinidae
Source: RNAcentral